AUACGGAGGGUCCAAGCGUUAUCCGGAAUCAUUGGGUUUAAAGGGUGCGCAGGCGGUUUAUUAAGUCAGUGGUGAAAUCUCGGGGCUCAACCUCGAAACUGCCAUUGAUACUGAUAAACUUGAGUUCAGUUGGAGUAGGCGGAAUGUGUAGUGUAGCGGUGAAAUGCUUAGAUAUUACACAGAACACCGAUAGCGAAGGCAGCUUACUAAACUGAUACUGACGCUGAGGCACGAAAGCGUGGGGAGCGAACAGGAUUAGAUACCCUUGUAGUCC
RNAcentral lists this ribosomal RNA (274 nucleotides) under uncultured bacterium. RNAcentral's name for it is "partial 16S ribosomal RNA". It matches the Rfam family "Bacterial small subunit ribosomal RNA", at positions 523 to 796 of the family's 1533-position model. The record is from RNAcentral.